GUAUUUUUUAGUAGAAAUGAGGUUUCGCCAUGUUGCCCAGGCUGGUCUCGAACUCCUGAAGCACAAGUGAUCCACCUGCCUAGGCGACCCAAAGUAAUGGGAUUACAGGCAAUGGACCUCAUCAUGACCGUUGCUGUACUUACAAUGAAAACAACUUGGUGGAUGGUGUGUAUUGUCUCCCAAUAGGACACUGGAUUGAGGCCACUGGGCACACCAAUGAAAUGAAGCACACAACAGACUUCUAUUUUAAUAUUGCAGGCCACCAAGCCAUGCAUUAUUCAAGAUCCAGGGACCAAAGGCCUGAAUUCCAGUUCUGCCUCAAGGUGGUGCUUUCCCUCAUUUUUGUAGCCCAAGACAUACAUUCAACUCAAGAGUCCAACUCUACAGCAGCUAUAUUUGGAAAUACAUAUAUUUUAUAGCCAGUAUAUAAAUGAUUUUUAAUAAAAUUCUACCAAAUAUCUGGCUGGGUAGCUGCCCUCGUCAAGUGGAACAUGUAACCAUCAAACUGAAGCAUGAAUUGGGGAUUACAGCUGUAAUGAAUUUCCAGACCGAAUGGGAUA
Molecule: small RNA, 560 nt
Filed under: Pongo abelii (Sumatran orangutan)
Lineage: Eukaryota; Metazoa; Chordata; Mammalia; Primates; Hominidae
Description: processed transcript
Source: RNAcentral